GCCGGCUUAGCUCAGGUGGUAGAGCAACUUACUUGUAAUCAGUAGGUCACAAGUUACACUCCGGUAGCCGGCACCA
Molecule: transfer RNA, 76 nt
Filed under: Arsenophonus endosymbiont of Aphis craccivora
Lineage: Bacteria; Pseudomonadati; Pseudomonadota; Gammaproteobacteria; Enterobacterales; Morganellaceae
Description: tRNA-Thr
Rfam family: tRNA
About the family: Transfer RNA (tRNA) molecules are approximately 80 nucleotides in length. Their secondary structure includes four short double-helical elements and three loops (D, anti-codon, and T loops). Further hydrogen bonds mediate the characteristic L-shaped molecular structure. tRNAs have two regions of fundamental functional importance: the anti-codon, which is responsible for specific mRNA codon recognition, and the 3' end, to which the tRNAs corresponding amino acid is attached (by aminoacyl-tRNA synthetases). tRNAs cope with the degeneracy of the genetic code in two manners: having more than one tRNA (with a specific anti-codon) for a particular amino acid; and 'wobble' base-pairing, i.e. permitting non-standard base-pairing at the 3rd anti-codon position.
Source: RNAcentral